CUUUUCCCACCGGAGCUUGCUCCACCGGGAAAAGAGGAGUGGCGAUACGGGUGAGUAACACGUGGGUAACCUGCCCAUCAGAAGGGGAUAACACUUGGAAACAGGUGCUAAUACCGUAUAACAAUCGAAACCGCAUGGUUUCGUUUUGAAAGGCGCUUUACGGUGCCGCUGAUGGAUGGACCCGCGGUGCAUUAGCUAGUUGGUGAGGUAACGGCUCACCAAGGCCACGAUGCAUAGCCGACCUGAGAGGGUGAUCGGCCACAUUGGGACUGAGACACGGCCCAAACUCCUACGGGAGGCAGCAGUAGGGAAUCUUCGGCAAUGGACGAAAGUCUGACCGAGCAACGCCGCGUGAGUGAAGAAGGUUUUCGGAUCGUAAAACUCUGUUGUUAGAGAAGAACAAGGGUGAGAGUAACUGUUCACCCCUUGACGGUAUCUAACCAGAAAGCCACGGCUAACUACGUGCCAGCAGCCGCGGUAAUACGUAGGUGGCAAGCGUUGUCCGGAUUUAUUGGGCGUAAAGCGAGCGCAGGCGGUUUCUUAAGUCUGAUGUGAAAGCCCCCGGCUCAACCGGGGAGGGUCAUUGGAAACUGGGAGACUUGAGUGCAGAAGAGGAGAGUGGAAUUCCAUGUGUAGCGGUGAAAUGCGUAGAUAUAUGGAGGAACACCAGUGGCGAAGGCGGCUCUCUGGUCUGU
This 695-nucleotide ribosomal RNA is filed under the name uncultured bacterium. RNAcentral's name for it is "bacterial SSU rRNA". It matches the Rfam family "Bacterial small subunit ribosomal RNA", at positions 71 to 737 of the family's 1533-position model. The record is from RNAcentral.